CAGCAGUAGCCGCGGGAAUACGAAGGGGGCUAGCGUUGUUCGGAUUUACUGGGCGUAAAGGGCGCGUAGGCGGACUGAUAAGUCAGGGGUGAAAUCCCGAGGCUCAACCUUGGAACUGCCUUUGAUACUGUUUGUCUUGAGUUCGAGAGAGGUAAGUGGAACUGCGAGUGUAGAGGUGAAAUUCGUAGAUAUUCGCAAGAACACCAGUGGCGAAGGCGGCUUACUGGCUCGAAACUGACGCUGAGGCGCGAAAGUGUGGGGAGCAAACAGGAUUAGAUACCCCAGUAGUCCCUGUCUCUUAUAA
Molecule: ribosomal RNA, 304 nt
Filed under: uncultured bacterium
Lineage: Bacteria
Description: partial 16S ribosomal RNA
Rfam family: Bacterial small subunit ribosomal RNA
Source: RNAcentral